AUGCCUAACACCGCAUAUCGACACCACCAUGGACCUCUCAUACAUCGCACCCGUCAUCACGUCCAUCGGCCAGCAUAUGCAACCAGCUGCGCGGAAGUGCACUCGAUUGAUCACCUGCUCGACUUGUGCUACAAGCUACAGGAAAUUGCAGUUUCCACCAUGUCCUUCUCCUUGUGUUGCACAAACAAUCAUUUGGACGAUUAUUUUGCAUUUUCCAUUAAGUGGUGGUCUAAUCUGCUUCAGUUUCUACCACUUGGUCAUCUAAUCAACUAUGUAGUCCUGAUGAAAGCAGAAAAUGACAGCUAG
This 306-nucleotide ribosomal RNA is filed under the name Triticum aestivum (bread wheat). Its description in RNAcentral is "partial small subunit ribosomal RNA". The record is from RNAcentral. Lineage: Eukaryota; Viridiplantae; Streptophyta; Magnoliopsida; Poales; Poaceae.